Molecule: unclassified non-coding RNA, 429 nt
Filed under: Hevea brasiliensis (rubber tree)
Lineage: Eukaryota; Viridiplantae; Streptophyta; Magnoliopsida; Malpighiales; Euphorbiaceae
Source: RNAcentral
GCAGGAUCCUGGGGAAAGAACUGAUCUGGGUUUAGGGAUGUUUGAUGGAGGAAUGGCAUUGACGUUCCACAAAUUAAAUUAUUCAUCAGUUCUUGCAGGUAAUUUACAAAAGAAUAGGACUCACUAUAGAGCAAGAUCAAAUCCACCUGUGGAUGUACACUUUUUAUCAGUUCUCGUACAAAUUGAUGAGAGUAAAAAUUCGCCACAAUCCAAGAAGAUUUCAGGUUCAGGUACUGCUCCAAAACGAUAUCAGAACCCCAAUUCCCUGCUUAAACAGGCAAAUACAGUUGGCAUCAUUGGAGGUGUAUCUGUUUUAUCUACUCUUAUUUUCCUAGAAAAGCUUGUCUGGUGGAGCUCAAGAGACGGAGAGGAAUGUAUUCCUUUUGUUGUGUGCAGCGAUCCUUCAAUAGCUAGAGUGCUCCCAUCACA